CCCCGCCUACAGCUGCCAGUCCUCGCCCGGGCACUACAGCUCCCAGCAUGCACCUGGGCUGGCACAAGGGGAGGAGGCGGAGCUGACGGAGCUGGACUCGCUGUACCAGGCCAGUCUGCAGGCCGGGAGGACAGUGUACAGUCCGUCGGAGAGGCUGAUUUCUCGCGUGGGGGGCCGACCCGUUCGAAGACCCCGAAUGCGGACAUGGAGAGGUGCAUGUACGGGGCGGACUGCACGGGCACCCCCACCUACCUCAACAAGCCAACGGGGUUUCUGGACCGGGCCUCGGGGGCGGGGCCUGGGGACAGCGACAGCCCGAGGAGGAUCGGACGCAGCCUCAGCGGGACAGUGGUGAACUCGCGCCGCCACCGACUCACCGCAACGCGCAGCUUUGAGCUGUCUGGCGGGACGGGGAGUUUCUGGCUGUGUCUGACUGGGGUCAAAGUGUCCUCCGACCAGAGUCCCGCCCUGUUCCACUGAUGUCCCGCUGAGCCCCGCCUCCUCCUCCUCCUCCUCCUCCUCCUCCUCUGCCUCCUGGUGCUGCGGCUGGGACUGGUCCUCUCAGCUACAACAACAGCAACAACAUGGUACUAUUCCACGACGGGACGUCCCAAACCAGCUCCACAGGAUCUCAGCCACUGUCCCAAAGACAAAGUGUUGCAACUACUACUUUCGCUAUCAUUUCUUUCAGACUUUGUUUGCGCCCUUACACCUGUCCAGCCUACCUUCAUGUUUUAUUACUGCCUUUUGCAUAUUGUUCUUGCAAUCUAUCUAUUUUCCUAUCCUUGUAUUCCAUCUAUCCAUGUUGCCCUUUGUAUACUUCACCUAUUACAGCUCAUCAUUUUCAUUAAUUCAGACUAUUAAUGUUAUUCUUGUUUUUUGUGUACCCACUAUAUUUACACUCUUCAUCCCUAUCCUUUUCCUAUCUAUCAUAGCAUCCCUACAAAUUAUCUAAAUACUUGUGCCUCUUUUAAAAUCUAAUCCUUUUAGUCACAGAAUUCUUUCCUCUCAUUUCCCAUAGACGUAAUUAACCUAAUUUGUAGUGGCCUACUGAGUGCUCUCUCCUUGAUACCUUAAAGGCGCUGCGCUCAACCUUUCACGGUUACAAAUUGAUUUCUAUUCGCAGUUAGGGCUGGGUACUGUUACUUUUUUUAAAUAUAUAUAUAUACAUAUACCGG
RNAcentral lists this long non-coding RNA (1178 nucleotides) under Neogobius melanostomus (round goby). RNAcentral's name for it is "lncRNA (ENSNMLG00000026551.1)". Lineage: Eukaryota; Metazoa; Chordata; Actinopteri; Gobiiformes; Gobiidae. The record is from RNAcentral.